AUGCUAUGUAUAAUAGCACAACGGGUAGUAAAUCUCAAGAGCAUUGGUAAGAGCAAUUGUUGGGUUGCCAGAACGCGUGGUGUGUAUAUCCUGAAGCGCACAAGGAGGAGGUCACCAGGUUCAAAUCCCUUCGGAUCUACAUCGACUGCAAGCCAGGUAUGGUUGCUGUUCUCUGGUUUUGACGGGCCAACUCAAGUUGAAGAUCAAAUCCGUCAUCAACAAGUAGCCAGCACACUCCCAGUCAUACCCAAUUACCCAUGGCUCCAUGAGGGUUCAGGAUCUCCACUGUUAAGCUGCAAUUACAACAAGGCCAGCCAAGCCAUGAGGUCUCUUUAUUUCGAGAUUCUUGUGAUGGUUUCAGAUUCAGAAGUGCACACCGUGGUCUAA
RNAcentral lists this ribosomal RNA (387 nucleotides) under Triticum aestivum (bread wheat). Its description in RNAcentral is "partial small subunit ribosomal RNA". The record is from RNAcentral. Lineage: Eukaryota; Viridiplantae; Streptophyta; Magnoliopsida; Poales; Poaceae.